This 1261-nucleotide long non-coding RNA is filed under the name Taeniopygia guttata (zebra finch). RNAcentral's name for it is "lncRNA (ENSTGUG00000023017.1)". The record is from RNAcentral. Lineage: Eukaryota; Metazoa; Chordata; Aves; Passeriformes; Estrildidae.
CACAAGAGGUGUGGGUGAGGGGAAUGCACAGGGACAUCCCAGCUGACUCUCCUCCAGGGAGCCUCUCCAAAAAUCCAGUGAAUUCCUCAGAAUCCUUGCCCUCACUUCAACUCCUGUCCACUAUCUUUGGGGAAACAAACACAAAUCUGUCUGGGAUUUUUUAAAAAUUAAUGCGACGACUCCCAGCUGAGGAUUCUGGAGCAGUCUAAGGCCAGUUACUGGACAAAAAAACCAAAAAAACCUAGACAACUUUAAAGAGCUUGAAAAACCCAUCUGGAACUGGGACAAUGAGGUUUCUUAAAAUACAAGCAAAUUAAGGAGUUUUCCUUUAGAAAAAUAAGAAGAAGAAAAAAAGGAGAGCAACAAUAAAGAUUUUUCCUGCAAAAAAUACUUUUAAAUUGCCAGUAAAAAAGGAACUGGAUUUUUUUCCUUAAGAUAAUAAGAGUAAAAGGUUUUUUACCCUUAAAAGAAUCCCUAAAAACAAAGAUAUUAACAUCUUUUUAGGAAAAAAAAUACACCACACUAAAAAUAUUGGUCGUUUAAAGGGUUUUUUUUCCCUCAAAAAGUGGAAUUCCUACAUAUAAGGACUUCUUUUUUCUUCCAGGAAAGAAAGGCCAAAGUACAUGAUAAAGAUUGUUUUCUUAGCCUCACAUUAACCAAAAAGAGUCCUCAAAAUCCCAAAUAAAUGGGGAUAAUCUAUUUUAAUCUAUUUUCUUCCUGAUGAUAAAAAAAAAGAAAAAAAGAGAUAAAGUAUCUAUAAUUUAAAAUAUUUUUAAAAGGACGUUUUUGUUUAAAAAAAAAUUAAAUCAGGCGAUAAAAGUGGAAAGUUUGGAAAGGGCCAAAAAUGUCACAUAAGGGUGAGGAGGGAUCCAGAGGUGUCUUAAAAACCCAAAAAUUAUUCAAAAAAAGUCUUAACUUUUUAUUAUAACAUUAUUAAAUUUCCCUUUCUAAAGAAUCCUGGGAGAGCUCAGAGAGAUUGGAUGGGUGGGAAGCUGGCAAAGUACAUGUUCAGUAUUUUUUUUUUUUUUUUGCUAAAAAAUGGAACAAGACAAAGUGAAAGCCUGCAUUUGAGGGUGGUUGAGCUCAUUUUCAGGCUGCAGUUCUUCACUUCAUUGAAGUGCAGCUAUUUUAUGGUCAAGGAUGUCACCCUCUAGUGUUUUGUUCCUCCUGAUUUUAGGUUCCAUGGUGGACACCAAAACCUCACCUGAAAAAGGUAAAUUUUGAGGGCUUUGCCCUAAGAAAACAUUACUUCUACCUAAAU